UCUACGGAGGCAGCAUGUGAGAAUCUGGACAAUGGCGCAACCUGAUCCAGCCAUGCCGCGUGAGUGAAGAAGGCUUCGCGUUGUAAAGCUCUUCGCAAGAGAAGAAAUCGGUGCGCUAAUAUCCCCACCGGAUGAC
Molecule: ribosomal RNA, 136 nt
Filed under: uncultured ammonia-oxidizing bacterium
Lineage: Bacteria
Description: partial 16S ribosomal RNA
Source: RNAcentral